This 85-nucleotide transfer RNA is filed under the name Felis catus (domestic cat). It matches the Rfam family "tRNA". Rfam says of the family: Transfer RNA (tRNA) molecules are approximately 80 nucleotides in length. Their secondary structure includes four short double-helical elements and three loops (D, anti-codon, and T loops). The record is from Rfam by way of RNAcentral. Lineage: Eukaryota; Metazoa; Chordata; Mammalia; Carnivora; Felidae.
GCCUGGGUGGCUCAGUCGGUUGAGCAUCCGACUUCGGCUCAGGUCAUGAUCUCGUGGUCUGUGGGUUCGAGCCCCACAUCGGGCU